CGGAGUUUAGCGCAGUUUGGUAGCGCGCCUGCCUUGGGAGCAGGAGGUCACAGGUUCAAAUCCUGUAACUCCGACCA
RNAcentral lists this transfer RNA (77 nucleotides) under Sulfoacidibacillus thermotolerans. Its description in RNAcentral is "Acidibacillus sulfuroxidans tRNA-Pro". It matches the Rfam family "tRNA". Rfam says of the family: Transfer RNA (tRNA) molecules are approximately 80 nucleotides in length. Their secondary structure includes four short double-helical elements and three loops (D, anti-codon, and T loops). Further hydrogen bonds mediate the characteristic L-shaped molecular structure. tRNAs have two regions of fundamental functional importance: the anti-codon, which is responsible for specific mRNA codon recognition, and the 3' end, to which the tRNAs corresponding amino acid is attached (by aminoacyl-tRNA synthetases). tRNAs cope with the degeneracy of the genetic code in two manners: having more than one tRNA (with a specific anti-codon) for a particular amino acid; and 'wobble' base-pairing, i.e. permitting non-standard base-pairing at the 3rd anti-codon position. Lineage: Bacteria; Bacillati; Bacillota; Bacilli; Caryophanales; Alicyclobacillaceae. The record is from RNAcentral.